CUACAAAAGGCGCUGGUCCCCAUAUUCUAACAGUGCCAUCAUCAGAGGCGCUGGCCAUCAUGGAUGGAAUCUGCGGGUUCCAGCUCACACAGUUAACAGUACGUGUGUGCCCUGUCAGCUCCGCAAUUGGCAGCUCGCUACGCUUGUGCCAAAUAUAUACUUUGUGAUCUUCGCUGCCACUCGCAAUGAAGUCUUCAUUAUGACCCCCAAAACAUGAGUGAAUUGUGUAAAAUCCUUGUGUAACUCCUUGAUACUUCCUCACUAAAACUCUGUCUUGUAAGUCCCAUAAGUGAACUCCCUGUGAAUCAGAAGUACAGAAGAUUUUUUGUUUUAAACCAUUGGACGUUACCCACUGCAUUCUUUUGAAACUUUUUAUAGAAGUGUAAACAUGAAAGUGCACUACUUCAGACAACUCUGGUAGUGUUACUCAAUCAAGAGAGUAAAGAUAUUCCAAAUUGCUAGCUUCAACUUCCUGGCUGUAGCACCUUCCAUUUUGAAAACUAUACUUAAUCACGGUCCCCAAACCAGAAAUACAUGUAUUUUAAUCUAAUCCUAACACUUCCUACACUCCC
RNAcentral lists this long non-coding RNA (572 nucleotides) under Gallus gallus (chicken). Lineage: Eukaryota; Metazoa; Chordata; Aves; Galliformes; Phasianidae. The record is from RNAcentral.